RNAcentral lists this ribosomal RNA (433 nucleotides) under uncultured bacterium. RNAcentral's name for it is "partial 16S ribosomal RNA". It matches the Rfam family "Bacterial small subunit ribosomal RNA", at positions 29 to 507 of the family's 1533-position model. The record is from RNAcentral.
AGCGAACGCUGGCGGCAGGCUUAACACAUGCAAGUCGAGCGGGCACUCCGGUGUCAGCGGCAGACGGGGGAGGAACACGUGGGAACGUACCCUUCGGUUCGGAAUAACGCUGGGAAACUAGCGCUAAUACCGGAUACGCUCUUUUGGGGAAAGGUUUACUGCCGAAGGAUCAGCCCGCGUCUGAUUAGCUGGUUGGUGGGGUAAUGGCCUACCAAGGCGACGAUCAGUAGCUGGUCUGAGAGGCUGCUCAGCCACACUGGAGCUGAGACACGGCCCAGACUCCUAGGGGAGGGAGCAGUGGGGAAUAUUGGACAAUGGGCGCAGGCCUGAUCCAGCCAUGCCGCGUGAGUGAUGAAGGCCUUAGGGUUGUAAAGCUCUUUUGUCCGGGACGAUAAUGACGGUACCGGAAGAAUAAGCCCCGGCUAACUUCGUG